RNAcentral lists this ribosomal RNA (650 nucleotides) under Ekhidna lutea. RNAcentral describes it as "bacterial SSU rRNA". It matches the Rfam family "Bacterial small subunit ribosomal RNA", at positions 69 to 716 of the family's 1533-position model. The record is from RNAcentral. Lineage: Bacteria; Pseudomonadati; Bacteroidota; Cytophagia; Cytophagales; Reichenbachiellaceae.
GCAGCACGGUUUUCGGACUGGUGGCGACCGGCGCACGGGUGCGUAACGCGUAUGCAACCUACCCACUACAGGGGGAUAGCCCAGAGAAAUUUGGAUUAAUACCCCAUGGUAUCAUAGAGAGGCAUCUUGAAAUGAUUAAAGAUUUAUUGGUAGUGGAUGGGCAUGCGUUGGAUUAGCUAGUUGGUUGAGGUAACGGCUCACCAAGGCAACGAUCUAUAGGGGUUCUGAGAGGAUGAUCCCCCACACUGGCACUGAGAUACGGGCCAGACUCCUACGGGAGGCAGCAGUAGGGAAUAUUGGUCAAUGGGCGAGAGCCUGAACCAGCCAUGCCGCGUGCAGGAAGACGGCCUUCUGGGUUGUAAACUGCUUUUAUACGGGAAGAAAAGGGUCCUGCGGGACACAUUGCCGGUACCGUACGAAUAAGCACCGGCUAACUCCGUGCCAGCAGCCGCGGUAAUACGGAGGGUGCAAGCGUUGUCCGGAUUUAUUGGGUUUAAAGGGUGCGUAGGCGGGCCUUUAAGUCAGUGGUGAAAGCCUGCAGCUUAACUGUAGAAUUGCCAUUGAUACUGGGGGCCUUGAGUAUAGAUAAGGUAGGCGGAAUUGAUGAUGUAGCGGUGAAAUGCAUAGAUAUCAUCAGGAACUCCGAUUGC